Molecule: ribosomal RNA, 253 nt
Filed under: uncultured bacterium
Lineage: Bacteria
Description: partial 16S ribosomal RNA
Rfam family: Bacterial small subunit ribosomal RNA
Source: RNAcentral
UACGGGGGGGGUAAGCGUUGUUCGGAAUUACUGGGCGUAAAGGGUUCGUAGGUGGCCUACUAAGUCAGACGUGAAAUCCCUCAGCUCAACUGGGGAACUGCGUCUGAGACUGGAAGGCUUGAGUGCAGGAGAGGAACGCGGAAUUCCAGGUGUAGCGGUGAAAUGCGUAGAUAUCUGGAGGAACACCGGUGGCGAAGGCGGCGUUCUGGACUGUUACUGACACUGAGGAACGAAAGCCAGGGGAGCAAACGGG